CCUACGGGAGGCAGCAGUAGGGAAUAUUGCUCAAUGGGGGAAACCCUGAAGCAGCAACGCCGCGUGGAGGAUGAAGGUUUUCGGAUUUUAAACUCCUUUUGUUAGAGAAGAUAAUGACGGUAUCUAACGAAUAAGCACCGUCUAACUCCGUGCCAGCAGCCGCGAUAAUACGGAGGGUGCAAGCGUUACUCGGAAUAACUGGGCGUAAAGAGCGCGUAGGCGGGAUAGCAAGUCAGAUGUGAAAUCCUAUGGCUUAACCAUAAAACUGCAUUUGAAACUGUUAUUCUUGAGUAUGGUAGAGGUAGGUGGAAUUCUUGGUGGAGGGGUAAAAUCCGUAGAGAUCAAGAGGAAUACUCAUUGCGAAGGCGACCUGCUAGAACAUAACUGACGCUGAUGCGCGAAAGCGUGGGGAGCAAACAGGAUUAGAUACCCCAGUAGUC
This 440-nucleotide ribosomal RNA is filed under the name uncultured bacterium. Its description in RNAcentral is "partial 16S ribosomal RNA". It matches the Rfam family "Bacterial small subunit ribosomal RNA", at positions 338 to 795 of the family's 1533-position model. The record is from RNAcentral.